This 208-nucleotide long non-coding RNA is filed under the name Elaeis guineensis (African oil palm). RNAcentral's name for it is "long non-coding RNA (EGUI_LNC079674)". The record is from RNAcentral. Lineage: Eukaryota; Viridiplantae; Streptophyta; Magnoliopsida; Arecales; Arecaceae.
UCUCUUUUCAUAAAAUUCCAACUAAAUAAAAAGCUCUGUCUCUACUCCCUAAGAAUUAACAUCACAAUCUAUUUGAAAAUUGGCAUUGCAAGCUUAUUAGUUUUUAGCUGAUAUUUAUUACUUGGGUACAACUUGGGCACAUCGAAGGGCACAAUAUCCAAAUAAGAAUUCUCCAAUAAAAUGAAUCCUCUAAUACAUCUAUUAGCUU